RNAcentral lists this ribosomal RNA (165 nucleotides) under uncultured Actinomycetes bacterium. RNAcentral describes it as "uncultured actinobacterium partial 16S ribosomal RNA". It matches the Rfam family "Bacterial small subunit ribosomal RNA", at positions 243 to 407 of the family's 1533-position model. The record is from RNAcentral. Lineage: Bacteria; Bacillati; Actinomycetota; Actinomycetes.
AGCUUGUUGGUGAGGUAACGGCUUACCAAGGCUACGACGCGUAGCGGGUCUGAGAGGACGACCCGUCACAUUGGGACUGAGAUACUGCCCAGACUCCUACGGGAGGCUGCAGUGGGGAAUAUUGCGCAAUGGCCGAAAGGUUGACGCAGCGACGCCGCGUGUGGG